Molecule: long non-coding RNA, 318 nt
Filed under: Gallus gallus (chicken)
Lineage: Eukaryota; Metazoa; Chordata; Aves; Galliformes; Phasianidae
Source: RNAcentral
GCCAUGAAUCACCUGACUGUCAUUUUGCUGUUUGCAGUUUGUGGUAAGCUGAGGCGUGAGAUGAUCUUCAGGUCUCUCCUACACACUGCCACAGAAGUGGAUUCAAACCUACGUUUCCAUGCUGUUAGAUACGCAUCGACAAGCGCCGACGUCCUCACAGCCACAAGCACAGGCCAAAGCCUCCUGGGUUGGGGCGUCUCCCAACCAGGCCGGGCCUCAUGCUGAUCCUCCCACCGCAGCUACUCCGACACUUUACAGGCACGCACACGCAGCAGUGGCAGGCGGUGACCCCGCGCCCGGCCAGCCCGCCGUUCUGAG